UUGAAAUCCAUCAUCAAGCGCGCACUUAAUCUUCAAAGAUGUCGUUGUUUUCCAAUCCUACACAAGCAUUCGGCACUAAUCCCGCUACAACUGCUACCACGGGGUUUUCAUUUGGUGGAGCGGUGACGACAUCGGCGCCAGCAUUUGGUGGUUUCGGCAGUACUGCUACAACAGCAGCACCCACGGGCUUUUCAGGUUUCGGGACAGGAACACAGGCAACCUUAGGGCAAACCACAGGGUUUUCCGGGGGCGCUGCACCGGCAACGACUACAGCAGCGACAGGUUUCAGUGGUUUCGGGACUAACCCCGGCACAUCCACCACAGGUUUCUCAGGAUUUGGGGGAACGGCGCCAACAACAACUACUGCCUCUGGAUUUACAGGAUUCGGUGGAUUUGGAACCACAUCAGGCUUUGGUGCUGGAACAGGAACCACAACAGGCUUCGGUGCUGGAACAGGAACCACGACAGGCUUUGGAGCAGCUCCAGGAACAACAGGGACCUCCACAGGAUUUGGGGGGUUUGGCACCACCGGAUUUGGUGGUGCCACAACUGGACAAACUGGCUUUGGAGCAGGAUUGUUUGCAGGAGGCCAGCAACCUCAGCAGCAGCAACUGCAACAACAACAUGGUGCAUCUGACCUCACCAACAUGGCCAUGGCGGUGUCUUUGCCGCAGAUCUAUGGUGAUGAGAGAGACGCCAUUAUUGCUAAAUGGAACCAGCUACAGGCCUGCUGGGGAACCGGGAAGGGAUACUACAGUCAAAAUGGCAUGGUGGAGUUCAAGGCAGAUAAUCCCUUCUGUAGAUUCAAGGCGAUAGGUUACCAUGUGAUACCAAGUGGGAGGAAUGAGGAUGGGUUGGUGGCGCUCAUGUUGAAAAAGAAGCAGACGGAGGUGACAGCGGCUCAGCAAGGAAUUGUUGACACUCUGCACAAGAUGCUAGGCAGUAAACCCACUCUCUCCGUUUGUGUGGAGGGCAUCAGACCACUCCCAGAGGACAGGACAGAGUUGGUGAUCUAUGUACUGGAACGUCCACCCACAGGACCUGCUAGACGGGUGGGAGCAUCUGACCUGUUCACAUUUAUGACCCUGCCAGGGUCCAAGAACACACUGGUCACCCAGCUGACCGUUGAGAACAUUGUGCCGAAGAUGGGCUGGUCCAGUGAACAGCUGAAGGAGUAUCUAGAUAAACCUCCAGCUGGUAUUGACCCAGUACUGUGGCAGCAGGCCAAGCUGGACAACCCAGAUCCAACCAGACUCAUCCCCGUCCCCAUGAUCGGCUUCAAGGAGGUCCAGCGGCGACUACAACACCAGCAGGAGCAGACACGACUACAUCAACAACGUCUCGAUGUGAUGUCUGGUGAUUUGACAGACCUUCAGAACAAACACAGCAACAUGCUGGCUCGGCAGGAGGAGUACAAGAGGAAACACCUGGAGCUGGGGCACCGACUGUUACAGGUGAUUGUAAAGCAGGAGAUCUACCGGAAGAUGGGGUAUGCCAUCCAGGCUGAAGAAGAGCAUCUCAAGGUACAGCUGGAGGUCCUGCAGACUGAGCUCAACCACCCCACACAGUUUAAGGGUCGACUCAAUGAACUGAUGUCACAAAUCCGGAUGCAGAAUCACGUGUCAUCUCAGCGACAGGAAGCAUCCUUUCAGAUGGACACAGAACUACAGUCAGAGAUCAAGCAGCUGUUGAAGCAACAACAAGAUGGCCUCAAUCAUCUGAUCCAAAUCUUGAAAGAUGAUGCCUCAGACCUUCACCUUAUAGAGUCAUCCCUCGCAGAUACCAUACAGACACGGAGGUGAUGACACAUCUCAGUAGGAUGGAAACAUUGUUGCUGUAGGAGUCUCUGCAGAUGCUUCUGACAUCGUCCUUGUCAUAUCCUUCGUGACUCCGGUGCUGUACCAUGUCCUUGAGAAGAGUCUUUGUUUGGUCUGCAACGUAACAAUUCAUGACACAACAGGGUUAAUGCACACUGAUCUCUGAUGUGAAGUGAAAUGAUCAGCAUUAUGUCUCAUGUAUAUUGGGGUGUGGUAAAAUGGCGGUCAGGUAGCCUAAUGGUUUAAGUGUCCGCUCGUCACGGUGAAGACCCGGGUUCGAUUCACCACAUGGGUACAAUGUGUGAAGCCUGUUUCUGGUGUCCCCGCCAUAAUAUUGCUGGAAUAUUGCUAAAAGCGGCGUACAACCUCACGCACUCACUGCAUCAUAAUGAUUUCCUCCUGCAUCAAGACAUGUCAUGGUAUCAGUGAAAUACUGUUCAGGUGAGGUAACCAAAUCAUCGUGCUGUAUGAACCAUUGUCAACACAUGGAACAGCUUUCUUGUUUUCCUGUAAACAUAACAUAAUUCCAGGACAACUGGUACUGAAGGCUUUGUAACACGAGUCAACCAAACUUUACGAGAUAGUUUGUGGAGUACCACUGUCUGGAGUCAUUGAUACUUAGUGGCAAGAAUGUUGACAAAAUACAGCUUGAAUAAAAUCUGAAGUAAGGGGGUAGCCUAGCUGCCAUACCACUGGCUUGUCACAUUGGAAACCAUGGCUCACUGACACAGUGUGUGAAGUGUAUUCUUGUUGAACCCACAGCUUUGAUAUUAAUGGAAUGUGUAUGAGAGCCAACUCAUUCACAUGCGAAAUAAUUCAGUCUUAUGAUAACCUGCAUGGUUCGUGGACCAAGAAGAAAUCUUUCUCCAGACAACAAUAUCAUACCGGCAGGAAUUUAUUUCAGAGACGGAUUGUUGGUGCACAUUAUGGUUAUAUGGUUAUUGAAAAGUCUUGCAG
This 2774-nucleotide unclassified non-coding RNA is filed under the name Haliotis rubra (blacklip abalone). RNAcentral's name for it is "nucleoporin p54-like, transcript variant X1". Lineage: Eukaryota; Metazoa; Mollusca; Gastropoda; Lepetellida; Haliotidae. The record is from RNAcentral.